RNAcentral lists this ribosomal RNA (520 nucleotides) under uncultured Glomus. RNAcentral's name for it is "SSU rRNA". It matches the Rfam family "Eukaryotic small subunit ribosomal RNA", at positions 569 to 1089 of the family's 1831-position model. Lineage: Eukaryota; Fungi; Glomeromycota; Glomeromycetes; Glomerales; Glomeraceae. The record is from RNAcentral.
AGCAGCCGCGGUAAUUCCAGCUCCAAUAGCGUAUAUUAAAGUUGUUGCAGUUAAAAAGCUACGUAGUUGAAUUUCGGGAUCAAGUCGUCGGUCGUGCUCAGGUACGUACUGGCGUCAUUGAUUUCUCCCUUCUGACGAACCAUGAUGUCAUUAAUUUGGUGUUAUGGGAAAUCAGGACUGUUACUUUGAAAAAAUUAGAGUGUUUAAAGCAGGCUCACGCUUGAAUACAUUAGCAUGGAAUAAUGAAAUAGGACGUUCGAUCCUAUUUUGUUGGUUCUAGGAUCAACGUAAUGAUUAAUAGGGAUAGUUGGGGGCAUUAGUAUUCAAUUGUCAGAGGUGAAAUUCUUGGAUUUAUUGAAGACUAACUACUGCGAAAGCAUUUGCCAAGGAUGUUUUCAUUAAUCAAGAACGAAAGUUAGGGGAUCGAAGACGAUCAGAUACCGUCGUAGUCUUAACCAUAAACUAUGCCGACUAGGGAUCGGAUGAUGUUAAUUUUUAAUGUACUCAUUCGGCGUACCCG